Molecule: non-coding RNA, 192 nt
Filed under: Pseudomonadota bacterium
Lineage: Bacteria; Pseudomonadati; Pseudomonadota
Source: RNAcentral
AAGCCCUUGCGCGCGCUUGGUCCCCGUGUUCGCGCGGGGUGAAAAGGGAAUGGGGUGCAAGUCCCCGGCUGGACCCGCAACUGUAAGCGGCGAGCCAUGCCGUCAUCAUGCCACUGGGUUUCGGCCCGGGAAGGCGACGGCAUCGGCGCUGACCCGCGAAGCCAGGAGACCUGCCCGGCGCCGAUCGUCCAU